GGAUGGAUCAUUAACAAAGAUCUAAUCUACGUUCUGUGAACUGUUUUGACCAACAGUCAGCGGGAAUGACUCGUUACGGUAGCGGCAACGUUACGGUAGCGAUCCGACCGCUGGCUGUACAACUACUACACGUAUUAAACCCAGACUAAUGUAAUAUAGUUGCUUGAACAUAAACAACUUUUAGCAAUGGAUCUCUUGGCUCUCGCAACGAUGAAGAACGCAGCGAAUUGCGAUAAGUAGUGUGACUUGCAGAUACCGUGAAUCAUCAAAUCUUUGAACGCACAUUGCACUGACUGGAAUUCCGGUCAGUAUGCCUGUUUGAGUAUCAGUAACCACUCUCCUACUCACUCUUUACUGAGUGGUAACGAGGACUUGGGUCUCUGUCUCGCAAGAGACGCGACUUUAAAUGCAUCUGCCGGUAAGCUACUGUUCCGACUGCUAACUGACAGGGUCAAUGGGCUUUGCCUAUCACUGUCUGGGGAUCAGUCGCGCUACAGUAGCCGUUUCCGGUAACAACCACUCGAUACUACAGUAGCCUCGCGCUACCGUGACUUUGAUCUCAAAUCAGGCAAGACUACCCGCUGAACUUAAGCAUAUUAAUAAGCGGAGGAAAAGAAACUAACAAGGAUUCCCCUAGUAAUGGCGAAUGAAGCGGGAACAGCUCAAAUUUAAAAUCUCUUCGGAGAAUUGUAGUUUAAAGAAGUGCUUUCGUAGGCAGCCUGGGUAAAAGUCCCUUGGAACAGGGCAUCAAAGAGGGUGAGAAUCCCGUAUUUGAUCCAGGUACUGUCUCACUGUGAUGCAUCUUCAAAGAGUCGGGUUGUUUGGGAAUGCAACUCCAAGUGGGUGGUAUAUUCCAUCUAAAGCUAAAUAUAGGCGAGAGACCGAUAGCGAACAAGUACCGUGAGGGAAAGAUGAAAAGAACUUUGAAAAGAGAGUUAAACAGUACGUGAAAUUGCUAAAAGGGAAACGUUUGAAAUCAGUGUUGGCCGCUUGAAAUCAGCCAGUCAGCAAUGGCUGGUGCACUUUCCUGUGGUCAGGUCAACAUCGGUUUUGAGUGCGGUAAAUUAGAGUAGGAAGGUGACUCCCUCGGGAGUGUUAUAGCCUGCUUGACUGCCGUGCUUGAGACUGAGGCUUGCAGUACAUGCCCUUGGGCAGGCGUUCGCGCACUAAUGUACUCUGGAUGUUGACGAAAUGGUUUUAAAUGACCCGUCUUGAAACACGGACCAAGGAGUCUAACACAUAUGCGAGUGUUUGGGUGGUAAACUCAUACGCGGAAUGAAAGUAAACGUAGGUGGGAUCCUUUUGGGUGCACCAUCGACCGGUCUGGACUAUUAAUGAUAGAUCUGAGUAAGAGCAUAUUUGUUAGGACCCGAAAGAUGGUGAACUAUGCCUGAAUAGGGUGAAGUCAGAGGAAACUCUGAUGGAGGCUCGUAGCGGUUCUGACGUGCAAAUCGAUCGUCAAAUUUGGGCAUAGGGGCGAAAGACUAAUCGAACCAUCUAGUAGCUGGUUCCCUC
Molecule: unclassified non-coding RNA, 1515 nt
Filed under: uncultured fungus
Lineage: Eukaryota; Fungi
Description: sequence contains 18S rRNA gene, ITS1, 5.8S rRNA gene, ITS2, 28S rRNA gene
Rfam family: Eukaryotic large subunit ribosomal RNA (bases 555-1515)
Source: RNAcentral